GACGAACGCUGGCGGCGUGCUUAACACGUGCAAGUCGAACGGAAAGGCUCCAGCUUGCUGGAGUACUCGAGUGGCGAACGGGUGAGUAACACGUGGGUAAUCUGCCCUGCACUCUGGGAUAAGCCUGGGAAACUGGGUCUAAUACUGGAUAUGACCUUUCUCCUUAUGGGGUUUGGUGGAAAGUUUUUCGGUGUAGGAUGAGCCCGCGGCCUAUCAGCUUGUUGGUGGGGUGAUGGCCUACCAAGGCGACGACGGGUAGCCGGCCUGAGAGGGUGAUCGGCCACAUUGGGACUGAGAUACGGCCCAGACUCCUACGGGAGGCAGCAGUGGGGAAUAUUGCACAAUGGGCGGAAGCCUGAUGCAGCGACGCCGCGUGAGGGAUGACGGCCUUCGGGUUGUAAACCUCUUUCAGCAGGGACGAAGCGUAAGUGACGGUACCUGCAGAAGAAGCACCGGCUAACUAUGUGCCAGCAGCCGCGGUAAUACGUAGGGUGCGAGCGUUGUCCGGAAUUACUGGGCGUAAAGAGCUCGUAGGCGGUUUGUCACGUCGUCUGUGAAAUCCUAGGGCUUAACCCUGGACGUGCAGGCGAUACGGGCUGACUUGAGUACUACAGGGGAGACUGGAAUUUCUGGUGUAGCGGUGGAAUGCACAGAUAUCAGGAAGAGCACCGAUGGCGAAGGCAGGUCUCUGGGUAGUAACUGACGCUGAGGAGCGAAAGCAUGGGUAGCGAACAGG
This 736-nucleotide ribosomal RNA is filed under the name uncultured Corynebacterium sp. Its description in RNAcentral is "bacterial SSU rRNA". It matches the Rfam family "Bacterial small subunit ribosomal RNA", at positions 28 to 776 of the family's 1533-position model. Lineage: Bacteria; Bacillati; Actinomycetota; Actinomycetes; Mycobacteriales; Corynebacteriaceae. The record is from RNAcentral.